Toxotes jaculatrix (banded archerfish) is the source of this 359-nucleotide long non-coding RNA. RefSeq lists it as uncharacterized. Lineage: Eukaryota; Metazoa; Chordata; Actinopteri; Toxotidae. The record is from RefSeq and is a predicted model, not a curated record. The transcript is spliced from 4 exons.
AGCCCAGAAGGUACGAGCCAGGUCCUGCAUCCCGUCACUAGCUGCCUGAGCUCGUAGCUCCUCCAGCCAUCCGAAAAAGUCAGACGACCACAAGCCCCAAUAGGGCACAUAAUGUGGAUAUUGAAAAUGUGAACGCCAUCAGGUGACAGUGCAAGAAGCCCAAUGGUGCCAUCAUGUGGAUAUUUAAAGGUGGACACCGGUCUGUAAAUGGAAUUUGGUCCAAAAGAAUAAUUGAGUAAUUGAACUUCUCCAUCCAAAAGCUGUAGUCAUGACUUCACCUGACAGACUCACCGACGACUCGCUGUCUCGUAUGAGGAAGUCGCCCUCCUCUCCUCUCUCGUUGAGUAUACACUCGGCCU